Long non-coding RNA from Wyeomyia smithii (pitcher-plant mosquito), 3206 nucleotides. RefSeq lists it as uncharacterized. The transcript has 3 exons. Lineage: Eukaryota; Metazoa; Arthropoda; Insecta; Diptera; Culicidae. The record is from RefSeq and is a predicted model, not a curated record.
AGAAAAAGGUAAAAAGUUGUCAGAGUGAGCUCGCUUAAGUUACUGAUAAACGAGGUUCAGAAGAAGUUCUUAUACUACUGGAAUUAGAUUACAUUUAAAAUUAUACUUACAUCUAAUAAUUCAUUGUUAUUAUACCUACAUCUAACCUAAACUAUUAGUACGGGUUUUCUUAUAAGCUAAAAGUCUGGUAAAAGGAUUACUCCGUUAUAGUUAGUACGAAUUUCUAAAAGUACGGGCUGUUCUAAUACAGGUUGUUAUAGUACGGAUGAACAACAGAAGGAGACUAAACGGAUUUACAACUCUGUUCCUGUACAAUAAAAACGAGUUUAAAACCGGAAAAAAAUCUGUCUGUCCGUUGCUAUCGCAACACUUUGUGAAUCCGUUUACGAUCGGGGGUUCAAGUCAUUCGGUAUGUCAAAGAAAAGUGAUGGGCGAGCGGCAUCACCCAAGCCACUGCCGGGUGUUAGUUGCGAAAUAUGUCGGAAACCGGAUAAUGACCGUAUGGUAGCGUGUGAUUCGUGCGAUCAGUGGUAUCAUUUCGCGUGUGUUAGCGAGGAUUCGAGUGUACAGGAUCGGGAGUGGUGCUGUCUGAAAUGUGUUGAAGCAGCGAAGCAACAUCCAUCUGGUACAUCAACCCCUAACAGCAAUACUGGAACGAUACCAAAGCCGGGAACUGGCCAACCAACGGAUUCGAAGCUGGAAGAAUAUUUACGGACGCAAUUAGCGGCGAUGCAGAAAAGGUUUGAGCGAAUUCUUAAGGAAAAAGACGUACUGCGGACGAACGAGCUUAAGGAUCAAAGGGCUUAAUAUGAACAAGAGCUGAGAGAUUCGGAGCGGCGAGUACUAGAACAGGUGGAAAGACAACACCAGUUAACCGGGUCAAACGGAAUAGGACCGACGGCGAGUUUGACUGGUAUUCCGUUGCCGCGAAUCAACGAACAGGAUGUUCCCCAGGAGAAUAAGGUUAUAGUGAAUGAAAUGAAAAUGCUGUAAGAAAUGCAGGCACUGGAAAGGAAGCAUUUGGAAGAGCGAAAUCGACUUCUUCUUCGGCAAGCACAUGCUGAUGGAGGCUCGGCUAGCGGAAGUACUGGACUGAAUCCCUUGGCGACAGGGUUUCAGCCGAGAGCUAGUGACUUUCCCGGAUAUGUUUCGUUGAGUCAAAACCAGAUCUCUGCGCGACAGGCUGUUAAUAAGGAACUACCCAUGUUUUCAGGGAACCCAGAAGAGUGGCCGCUUUUCAUAGCGAGUUACGAAAAUUCGACAAGGAUUUGCGGAUAUAGCGAUGAAGAAAUGUGGUUAUUACCCAGUUAGACUGUGGAUGAUGAUUAACCCCAACUUAGGGACUUGUUUCUGAAUGAGGACUUUACGCCAUCAAGUACUGGUUACGAAUACAUGAGUUUAUUUCAAUAUCACUAAAUCGAACUUAAUGCUAGUCAAAAUACAUAAUUGGAAAAUAGAGAGACGAGAGUGUCUCUCAAGAAAGAGAGAGAAUUGGAGGUACCUGGUAACAGGCAUGUGUACUUGAAUUUUAUGACGGUUGUCAACCCGUCGUGAAAUAUGGAAAUGCUGUAAUUUGAGUACGGUCGAGGCUGAGCCUGUGAACUUGCAUCGUUGGUGGUUCUAACAUAGGCAAUUGAACCCAAGCGUUAUUGCUCACGCUGCGAGACCUCAACGAUAGAAUUGAAGGUUGCUAUGCCACAUCUGUUUGCAAUAUGCAACUCAAAUAUUUCAUACUACAUCUUCCCCUUUUAUGAAAAAUGAUGAGCGUAGGGAAAUCAUUUUUAAAUCAUAAAAUGUUACCAAAUACCUUCAAAUUUUAAAUCUAGUUAUAUAAUAAUGGUUUGAUAUCGUUUUCAAUGUUACGUUAUAGUUUAAUUAUUCGGUUCUUAUGUACUGUUUUUUGUCCGUUUGUGAUACAAUUUUUUAUUGUUAUAUUUGGGUGAUUAAUUGAUAUUACCUCGUGUGGGCCAUUGUAUACCAUAUCUAGUUUUCUAUUAUUUUCAGAUUUUAGUAGUAUUUUUUCUCCGAUUGAGAUAUCUGUAGGUUUUGCUGUUGCUGAUUGUUUUGUAAUUCUUUUUUGUUUGGAUUUUAUUAAUAAUUCUCUAGCCUUACUUGCUGCGUAUUGUAGUCUGUAAUUAAGUUCGGUAUAAUAACUAUCGUAAUUAUGAAUUGGAUCUAUUUUCUCGGGAUUUGCUAAUCUUUGAGGAUAAUUUGCCAAAUUUCCAAAGACCAAUUCAUAUGGUGUGUAAUUAUGCUCAGUGUUGGGAGUAGUAUUAUAGCAGAAAGUAUAGUAUUUAGGCCAAGAAUCCCAAUCAUCUUGUUGCUCACUAAUAAAUUGUCGUAAAUAUUCAUUAAGGCAUCGAUGAUUGCGUUCUAAGCCACCUAUUGUUUGCGGGUGGUAGGCUGUAGAAAAAUUGUGAUUAAUUGAAAGUAAUAGACAUAUAUUUUGGAACAGUUCGUUCUUGUAUUCCGUUCCUAAAUCUGUUUUUAUCAAAAUUGGGCAUCCGAAUAUAAGUAUAAAAUGAUCUACGAAUGCUUUCGCAAGAGUUUGUGCUUGCUUAUCGGGUAUAGGUACGGCAAUAACGUACUUUGUGAGAUCACAUUGUAACGUCAAGGCGUAUCUAUUCCCAUUUAUGGUUUUUGUCAUAGGACCUAUUGUAUCAAUAGAUACAAGGUUGAAUGCUUUACUGGGAGUAGUUGUUUCAAUAAAUUUUUCCCUCGUAUGUAUCGUGUGUUUAUUUCUUUUACAAUCAAUGCAGUUUUUAACGAACUGAUUGAUAGUUUUUCGCAUGUUUUUCCAGUAAUAUGUCGUUCGUAGUUUAUUUAAUAAUCUUGUGGUUCCAACAUGUCCACCUAGAGGAGACGUGUGACUUUCAAGAAUUAUUUUGUCGAUGUCAGUUUUGUUUGUUAUAAUUUGUGCUGGUGUGUAGACUACUAGGUCUACUUCAUUUAGUGAUUUAUUAUAUAGCGCUUUAAAAUUUUCAGAGUUGAUUUUCGAAAAAAUAACACUGUUUCUUGCAAUUGCUAAUCUUUUUAUAUUUAAAUGUGUGGCCAUCACAUUAAUUAUGUCAAUUAUUUCUUUGACAUCUUGUAUUUCCUUGCACUUAUUUUCAGAAAGUUGCGCUUGAGCAAGAUUCUUUUUCAUUUUUUUAUCAUAUAUAUCCAUUGUCAAAGUUGGUGUGGUUUCAUUUAUUUUCAAAACUAGU